This 230-nucleotide non-coding RNA is filed under the name Massilia sp. Root351. RNAcentral also lists the same sequence under 1 other name. Lineage: Bacteria; Pseudomonadati; Pseudomonadota; Betaproteobacteria; Burkholderiales; Oxalobacteraceae. The record is from RNAcentral.
GUAUAAUGGCGGGGUUUUGGUGCCCGCGCGCAUGCCCAUGCGCGCAGUUAAACGGGAAACACGAAGCCGCGCCCCUACCAGGAAAACGGCCAACGUGUGCUGCCCCCGCAACGGUAAACAAGUGUCGCCCACGGCGACAAGCUGCCUCCGACAAACCACUGUGCACUGCAUGGGAAGGUAAGGCAGUUCAACUUGCGAGCCCGGAUACCGGCCAAAGCAGGUGGAUGCGC